UACGUAGGGGGCAAGCGUUGUCCGGAAUCAUUGGGCGUAAAGCGCACGUAGGCGGACUCGUAGGUCAAUUGUGAAAUACCUGGGCUCAACCCAGGAACUGCAGUUGAAACCACUUGUCUUGAAUACCUGAGAGGGUGGGGGAAUACCUGGUGGAGAAGUGAAAUUCGUAGAGAUCAGGUGGAACACCGGAGGCGAAGGCGCCUGCCUGGCAGUGUAUUGACGCUGAGGUGCGAAAGUGCGGGGAGCAAACAGG
RNAcentral lists this ribosomal RNA (253 nucleotides) under uncultured bacterium. RNAcentral's name for it is "partial 16S ribosomal RNA". It matches the Rfam family "Bacterial small subunit ribosomal RNA", at positions 524 to 776 of the family's 1533-position model. The record is from RNAcentral.